This 291-nucleotide ribosomal RNA is filed under the name uncultured bacterium. Its description in RNAcentral is "partial 16S ribosomal RNA". It matches the Rfam family "Bacterial small subunit ribosomal RNA", at positions 392 to 697 of the family's 1533-position model. The record is from RNAcentral.
CAAUACCGCGUGAGGGAGGAAGGCUCUUGGGUCGUAAACCUCUUUUCUCAGGGAAGAAAAAAAUGACGGUACCUGAGGAAUAAGCAUCGGCUAACUCCGUGCCAGCAGCCGCGGUAAUACGGAGGAUGCAAGCGUUAUCCGGAAUGAUUGGGCGUAAAGCGUCCGCAGGUGGCUGUGUAAGUCUGCUGUUAAAGAGUCUAGCUCAACUAGAUAAAAGCAGUGGAAACUACACGGCUAGAGUGCGUUCGGGGCAGAGGGAAUUCCUGGUGUAGCGGUGAAAUGCGUAGAGAU